Dendrobium catenatum is the source of this 4441-nucleotide long non-coding RNA. RefSeq lists it as uncharacterized. The transcript has 2 exons. NCBI's taxonomy places the organism in Eukaryota, Viridiplantae, Streptophyta, Magnoliopsida, Asparagales, Orchidaceae. The record is from RefSeq and is a predicted model, not a curated record.
UCGAGCAAAGAGGAAGAGGUAAUGGGUGGCUUAGGUCGGGACAAGAUCAGGUCGGCUGAGGCAUGGAGGUCAGCUUGAAGAGAAGAGCGAGCUCGGUACUGAAGGGAAAUUGGAAGACAGAGAUGGGAGCUAGUUCAGACAGGUAUAGGGCAGUCAAUUGCUUAGGUUGAAGCGCAGGACUGCAGCUGCUUGGACUUAGAAGAGACGAGUGAAUCAGGUCGGACAGAGGGAUGAAGAGGCGGCGGGAAGCGUCAGCCUUAGCUUGAGAGGCUUCGGUGGGUCCGAAUCUCUCUCUCUCUCUGAACGGACAGUUUGCAAAUAGGGUAAGGGCAAAAUCAUCGGGUGAAGGCUGAGGGUAGAGAUUGGUUGGAGAGGAAUGGGGAAGCCGGAGUUUAUCACACAAUAGGAUUGUGGCUUUCGGCUUGGGAUGACCGGAGAUGUGUGUAGAGUUUGCAAAUGAGAAAGGAGAGGUAGCCACCACCGUUUGGCCUGGGAGGAGUUUUAUUAUAUGGUUUUAAAUUCCCAUUUUUUAUAUUAUUUUCCCUGCAUAUGGGAUAGGGAGCAUCUAGGAGGGGAUUUGUGAUGUGAAUUUGGCAGCUGAGAAGAGAUUUUGAGCAGGAUUUGGGUGAGAUCUCAGCAUAGGAUGACAUGCAUCUCAUUUUGGAGGAAGGAGUAUUAGAUAAUACUGCUAUAGACUUGGGUAGUAAGGAAAUUGUGGAAGAAGGUCAUAUCUUCAAGGAUGGAGAUUUGCCUCAGGAGGUAAGGCAAGCGGGUCUACAUAAUGAUAAUAAGCAUUCUACAAACUCUCACCAUCAUAGUAAUGUCUUUACUGAUACAAAGGAUAUGGAUAUUAUGGCUAAAUGUUUUAUCAAAGAUGAUCAUGACACUAGUUCUACUAAGUUUCAAAAUAGGAAGAGUAGGAAAAACAAGAACAUCAUUUUACAAUAACCACGGACCACCCAUUUGCAAACUAGACACUAGCCACUUUCUUAUAUUUAAAUUUAUUAUUUGGAAUGAUAGGAGCAUUGGAUUCCCCUCCUUUAGGUUGAGGGUUAAUAAUUUACGCCAUAUUCAUAAUGUUUCUAUUCUUGUUUUACUUCAACCUCUCAUUACUUCUGCUUAAUUAUUCAGUACUGCUAUAUUGUUGGGUUUUAAGCAUUCUGUUGUGAAUUCUUCCUAUAAAAUAUGGGUGUUUUGGAAGGAUCCUAUUUGGAUAGAUAUUAUUGGAAAUUUUAUGCAAGUCUUGCACUGUAAUUUUAAAUUUUAAAAUUUGAAUUGUUGUCAUUCCUUUGUGUAUUCUGCUUCUUCUUGUAAUACUAGAAAAGUUUUAUGGGAGCAACUCACUAACUUCCAUAGUAUUUCUAACUUGCCCUAGCUUGUUGGUGGUGAUUUUAACACUAUUUCUAACCUCUCUGAGUGUAUUGGGGAUCUGCUCCUAUUUAUCAUUCUAUGGAGGACUUUAAUAGUAUGAUUCUAGAUUGUAACUUAGUGGAGAUUGGUUUCUUUGGUAAUAAAGUUACUUGAAACAGUGGUCGUUUAUGACAACGGUUGGAUCGUGUGUUGUUUAACGAUAGUUGGAUUAGCUCAUUUAAUUCUAUUUAUGGUGAACACCUUAAUAGAACUCUUUCUAAUAACUCGCAUAUUUUAAUUAGCCUUAAGACGAGGCAUAUGGGUCCUUCACCUCACUUUAGAUUUCAAAAUAAGUGGUUACUUCGUGAUUCUUUUCUGGACUUAUUUCAGGAAAGUUGACAUGCCCUUUUACAUCUUAAUGAUUCUAUAUUUGGCAUGAAUAUAUUAUGGUUUAAAUUGAAAAGACUUAAGUAAAAAAUCAAUUGGUGCAAUAGAAAUAUUUUUAAAAAUAUUUUCGCUAAUAUCUUGAAUGCUGAAGAUAAAGUGAACACUAUUAAGCUUAAUUGUCAAUUAUUUCAUUCUGAUGAUAAUUUUACUUUGCUUAGGGAUGCUAAAGAUUGCCUUUUUAAAUUACAAGCUCAGGAGAAAGCCUUUUGGAAAUAAAAAGUGACUACGAAGCACCUUGCUGAAGGUGACAAUAACAACAAAUAUUUUCAACAAAUUAUGAACCUUCCCCGAUUAUGAUAAACUAGCUAAUGCCAUUCUUAAUUCUAUUAUUCAACAAAUUAUGAACCUUCCCCUUAACACUAAUUCUACUUAUUUAUUAUUAUGCAAUUUGUCUAAAGAUGGGAAUUUCAGAUUAAAGGAAGCUUGGCAUGCCUUCAGAGCUAAGAAUGAUGUAACUAAUAUUUUUUCUAUGAUUUGGCAUAAAAAAUUCUUUUUGCUUUUGCUAUUUUCAUUUGGAGAAUUUUACAUAAGUUCAUCCCUAGUAAUGAUAACUUAAUUAAAAGAGGCUUUAUCUUACCGUCCAAGUGCCAAUGAUGCUUUCAUGUGGAGAACAUGCAUCAUGUCUUUCUUUCAGGCCCUUCAGCUGCUAAAACUUGAACAUAUUUUGAUGAUAUUUUUAAAAUAAAUUGCUUUAAUAUUAAGUUGUCUAUUAAUGCUUUACUUAACUCUUAGUUUAUUAAGUCUAAAAGUCAUAUUAGAAAUGUUGUUCCCUUUCUCAUUUUGUUGAAUUAUGGCUGAAUAGAAAUAAUUCCCUUUUAAUGGUAUUGGUAUGAACCAUCAUAGGAUUAUUAAGAAUAUGAAAGACAAGGUUUUGCGGCUUUUUUAAAUCAAUCUGCUCUCUGUCAAGAAUUUUAAGAAUUAUUUCUUUGUGGCAUUUGAAUUGGGUAUCAUGUUGGAGGGUGAUCAUCCUUCUACUAAACCUAGGAUUAUUUACUGGAUCAAACCUCCUAAUAAUUCCUAUAAGCUAAAUGUGGAUGGUACUAUCAAAGGUUCCAUUUUGGGAUGUGGUGGGAUUAUUAGGGAUGGUUUUGGGAAUAUCAUUAUGGCUUUUGCGGGCCUCUGACUUAAUUGUUCAGUGAAUUUUGCUGAGCUUUCAGCUAUUCUUCAUGGGAUUAUAUUAUGCAUAUAUCUCGACAUUUCUAACAUUUGGAUUGAAGUUGAUGCUACUUACAAUAUUCAUUGUUUAAAUAAUGUUGAUGAUCCUGUGUGCAACCCAGAUCUUUUUUAUCUUGCUAGGGACAUUAAUCAUAUGCUAAUUUUUGUUAAUUAAUCCCUCUCUCAUGUGUAUAGGGAGGGGAAUGCUUGUGCUGAUUGGCUUGCCAAUUUGGGGUGUAAUUUGGAUUAUUUUAUUGACUUCUCUGCCUCUAACAUACCAGUCCCCUUAAAAGGGCUUUUAAGAUUAGAUAAAAUUGGUCUUCCCUAUGUUAGAUUUUUUUUAGUUAUUUUUGGAUGGAGCUUGAGACUCCUUUUUAUUUUUGUUUGGGGGUUGCCUUCUCGUGCUGGAGGGUCUCCCCUGUUAACUGCAUCUCUUGGUUUUUCUGGUUCAGUUUUGAUGUCAGCAUUUCUUCCCUGUGCUGCUCGUCUAAUCCCACGAUGUUUGGUUUUAAUAUUAUUUUAUGUGGGCUGGUUUCCUGUAAGCUGUCAAUGGGUUUUUUUGGGAUUUUGUUGGAGGUUGUUCCUUGGAUCCAUUCUGGUAUAGUUUUUUCUAGUUUCAGUUGGUUUGGUUUUUGUGGUUGUGCUCUUCAUUUCCUGUGGGUUUUGGCUCAUCUGGUCUAUUGCUUUUCCCUGGGCAUGGUUCCUUUGUGCUUAGUUGGGAUUGGGAUUAGACUGGAGUGGCAUUUCGAUUGUGAUUUUGCUGGCAUUUAUGUCUCUAAUCUAUUUUAUUGGGUUGGCCAAUUUUCAUGUUACCUUGUUUGGCUAAGGACUCACUGUUGGUUUGUUUGGAACUGGUUUUAUGAAUUAGUAUGGGGUUUUAUUUUGCAGUUUUUCUUUUAAAGCUGUGGCUAUCCAUAUUAAGUUGGAUGUGAAAUGGUUAUAUAUCUGGAUUAUCUUGGUUUCCUUUAUCUAUGCCAUUGUGGAUUAUGGCCAAUGGUCUACUUCUGCUGGGUUUGCCAUUAGGUUCCAUGGCUGCUUACCUGAUAGUUAGGGGGUGCUUGUUCAUUUCCUUGUGAAUGAUGCUGCUAAGUGUUAUAAAGUUGUUUGUUGGAGGCUGAAUGUUUUGUUUUUUAUUUAUACUACUUGUUUUAUGGACAAUUGCUUGGACUAUCACCAUGCCAUUUUAUGAUUUUAUUUUUGCAAUUUCUAUCUUGGUUAUCACUUUUUUUUGCAGCAUCUCUUUAGUGCAGGUGUUCGUAGUGGUGGCAUUUUGGAAGGGAUUGUGGAGCUGGUUGAUUUUUUUUUUGUUCCCUUUUUUUUGGGCGCUCUUUUUUAUUCAUCAUAGAUUGUAUCUAGGUUAUAUUAUAUUUUUACGUAGUUAGGAACUUUAGCUCUUAGGAUUUUUUUUGCUUUCUUUUUGUAGCUCUUAGGAGUACUAAGCUUGUGGUCCCUUUAAGGACUAUUUAACAUCUUUCUUAAUUAAUACGUA